Molecule: unclassified non-coding RNA, 366 nt
Filed under: soil metagenome
Description: partial contains 5.8S ribosomal RNA, internal transcribed spacer 2, and large subunit ribosomal RNA
Rfam family: 5.8S ribosomal RNA (bases 6-121)
Source: RNAcentral
GAUGAAAGAACGUAGCGAAUCGCGAUACGUAAUGUGAAUUGCAGAAUUCAGUGAAUCAUCGAAUCUUUGAACGCACCUUGCACCCUCUGGUAUUCCGGAGGGUAUGCCUGUCUGAGUGUCACGUCAAUCAUCGUCCCCUCGGGUCAUGCCCGUGGGGGUCGGACUUGGGUGUUGCCCCUUACCCGGGCUCGCCUCAAAUGUAUCGGUGGCUAUGCCGCCCCGUGGUCUUGCGUGAUAUGUAUCGCCUGACCCAGGGUGGCCGGCUUCCUCGAAACCGCCGUCGUCUUUGGACGUCGGACCUCUUGUGAUAGACCUCAGAUCAGGUAGGACUACCCGCUGAACUUAAGCAUAUCAAUAAGCGGAGGA